Acanthosepion pharaonis is the source of this 95-nucleotide non-coding RNA. NCBI's taxonomy places the organism in Eukaryota, Metazoa, Mollusca, Cephalopoda, Sepiida, Sepiidae. The record is from the annotation of a GenBank genome assembly.
ACAGGCUGGUUUUCUUAUGAUCACUGAAGUUAAGCAACACUGAAUCUGGUCAGUACCUAGAUGGGUGACCACUUGGGAAUACCAGGUGCUGUAAG